Molecule: long non-coding RNA, 917 nt
Organism: Papaver somniferum (opium poppy)
Lineage: Eukaryota; Viridiplantae; Streptophyta; Magnoliopsida; Ranunculales; Papaveraceae
Exons: 4
Source: RefSeq, a predicted model, not a curated record
ACUGGUUUAAAGAUUGCUGGCAGCACUCAUUGGGGAAGGCAGAAGUAUUUUGAAGCUCUUAACAUAGACCCUCACUAUGCUGUAUUAUCUCUUUCCUCUGUAGCACGUGUUCUCUUUCUAUUGGUUUGUACUUAUGCUCUAAGCUGUCACAACAAUGCUGCACAACAACGUCCUAUGUAUGCUGAAGCAUAUUGUAACAUGGGUGUAAUUUAUAAGAACCGUGGAAAUCUGGAGUUGGCUAUUCCUUGCUAUGAAAGGUGUUUGGUUGUGUCUCCGAACUUUGAUAUCGCAAAGAAUAACAUGGCAAUAGCCUUGACAGGCCUAGGAACAGAGACAUUAUUCAGUGAGCUUUGCAAAUUGUACGAUACAUAAGCCAGAACAUGUUGUGUUUGUUCUGGGUAGAAGGAUUGGAAAAGAUGCUUCCUUUCAAGCUCAAGCCGUUGCUGAAGUUGCAGAAGCUCAUCCGGUUAUUGUUAAGGGUGCCGCCAAGGGAGUUAGUGCACUUAGUGAGUAACUGUAAGAACCAUGUCAGUGGAGAUUAUGCCUGCAACAAAAGCAAUUGCUUCAUUUAAGCUGCCCACUUCAACUCUGGCAAGGUCUGAUAAGGGACAUACUAUAACUGCUCAUAUGUGCCGUCUUGAUGCUUUGAAGAGGACUUCUGGUGUGGCAGAGGUCUGCAGGAAGUUCUCCACUAAUGAGAAUACCAUCACAGUAGGAGGUUUGUAUGCAGUUGAUCCCUUCACAUCUGCGAAGUACAGGCUCAGCAACCGUGGGAAGUUUGCUGCUCUCAUGCUACACGAGCUCAAACUCAAGUCCUCGUGACACUCACUGGUGAGUUUGACACCAAGGCCUUGGAUAAGGCUCCCAGGUUCAGAUUGUCCCUUGCUUUCAAGCCUUGAGUGAUCGUCUUCUGAAUA